RNAcentral lists this ribosomal RNA (468 nucleotides) under uncultured bacterium. RNAcentral's name for it is "partial 16S ribosomal RNA". It matches the Rfam family "Bacterial small subunit ribosomal RNA", at positions 28 to 507 of the family's 1533-position model. The record is from RNAcentral.
GACGAACGCUGGCGGCGUGCUUAACACAUGCAAGUCGAACGGAAAGGCCCUGCUUUUGUGGGGUGCUCGAGUGGCGAACGGGUGAGUAACACGUGAGUAACCUGCCCUUGACUUUGGGAUAACUUCAGGAAACUGGGGCUAAUACCGGAUAGGAGCUCCUGCUGCAUGGUGGGGGUUGGAAAGUUUCGGCGGUUGGGGAUGGACUCGCGGCUUAUCAGCUUGUUGGUGGGGUAGUGGCUUACCAAGGCUUUGACGGGUAGCCGGCCUGAGAGGGUGACCGGCCACAUUGGGACUGAGAUACGGCCCAGACUCCUACGGGAGGCAGCAGUGGGGAAUAUUGCACAAUGGGCGGAAGCCUGAUGCAGCAACGCCGCGUGCGGGAUGACGGCCUUCGGGUUGUAAACCGCUUUCGCCUGUGACGAAGCGUGAGUGACGGUAAUGGGUAAAGAAGCCACGGCUAACUACGUG